UCUCCGUUGGUGAACCAGCGGAGGGAUCAUUACAGAGUUGCAAAACUCCCAAACCAUUGUGAACGUUACCUAUCCCGUUGCUUCGGCGGGCGGCCCGGGCCCCGCGCCCGGCGCCCCCCGGCCCCCCGUGGGCGCCCGCCGGAGGUAAACCAAACCCUUGAAUUGCUUGGCCUCUCUGAGUCUUCUGUACUGAAUAAGUCAAAACUUUCAACAACGGAUCUCUUGGUUCUG
Molecule: unclassified non-coding RNA, 231 nt
Filed under: plant metagenome
Description: partial contains small subunit ribosomal RNA, internal transcribed spacer 1, and 5.8S ribosomal RNA
Source: RNAcentral